RNAcentral lists this ribosomal RNA (377 nucleotides) under uncultured Glomeromycotina. RNAcentral's name for it is "SSU rRNA". It matches the Rfam family "Eukaryotic small subunit ribosomal RNA", at positions 569 to 952 of the family's 1831-position model. Lineage: Eukaryota; Fungi; Glomeromycota. The record is from RNAcentral.
AGCAGCCGCGGUAAUUCCAGCUCCAAUAGCGUAUAUUAAAGUUGUUGCAGUUAAAAAGCUCGUAGUUGAAUUUCGGGGUCAGCAGGUCGGUCGUGCCACUGGUAUGUACUGGUCUUGCUGACUCCUCCCUCUUGACGAACCGUAAUGCCAUUAAUUUGGUGUUGCGGGAAAUCAGGACUGUUACUUUGAAAAAUUAGAGUGUUUAAAGCAGGCUUACGCUUGAAUACAUUAGCAUGGAAUAAUGAAAUAGGACGUUCGAUCCUAUUUUGUUGGUUUCUAGGAUUGACGUAAUGAUUAAUAGGGAUAGUUGGGGCAUUAGUAUUCAAUUGUCAGAGGUGAAAUUCUUGGAUUUAUUGAAGACUAACUACUGCGAAAGC